This 206-nucleotide ribosomal RNA is filed under the name uncultured bacterium. RNAcentral describes it as "partial 16S ribosomal RNA". It matches the Rfam family "Bacterial small subunit ribosomal RNA", at positions 568 to 774 of the family's 1533-position model. The record is from RNAcentral.
UCCGUAGGCGGCCGUGUGUGUCGGGUGUGAAAUCCUGCAGCUUAACUGUAGAAUUGCGCCCGAAACUACACGGCUAGAGUAUUGGAGAGGUGAGUGGAAUUCCUGGUGUAGCGGUGAAAUGCGUAGAUAUCAGGAGGAACACCAACGGCGAAGGCAGCUCACUGGACAAUUACUGACGCUGAGGGACGAAGUGUGGGGAGCAAAAG